UCCCUCCCGGUAAGGGGGCCUGCGGAAGGAUCAUUACCGAGUGAGGGCCCUCUGGGUCCAACCUCCCACCCGUGUCUAUCGUACCUUGUUGCUUCGGCGGGCCCGCCGUUUCGACGGCCGCCGGGGAGGCCUUGCGCCCCCGGGCCCGCGCCCGCCGAAGACCCCAACAUGAACGCUGUUCUGAAAGUAUGCAGUCUGAGUUGAUUAUCGUAAUCAGUUAAAACUUUCAACAACGGAUCUCUUGGUUCCGGCAUCGAUGAAGAACGCAGCGAAAUGCGAUAAGUAAUGUGAAUUGCAGAAUUCAGUGAAUCAUCGAGUCUUUGAACGCACAUUGCGCCCCCUGGUAUUCCGGGGGGCAUGCCUGUCCGAGCGUCAUUGCUGCCCUCAAGCACGGCUUGUGUGUUGGGCCCCCGUCCCCCUCUCCCGGGGGACGGGCCCGAAAGGCAGCGGCGGCACCGCGUCCGGUCCUCGAGCGUAUGGGGCUUUGUCACCUGCUCUGUAGGCCCGGCCGGCGCCAGCCGACACCCAACUUUAUUUUUCUAAGGUUGACCUCGGAUCAGGUAGGGAUACCCGCUGAACUUAAGCAUAUCAAUAAGGCCGGGAGGAUC
RNAcentral lists this ribosomal RNA (608 nucleotides) under Aspergillus fumigatus. Its description in RNAcentral is "eukaryotic LSU rRNA". The stretch from base 222 to 375 matches the Rfam family "5.8S ribosomal RNA". Lineage: Eukaryota; Fungi; Ascomycota; Eurotiomycetes; Eurotiales; Aspergillaceae. The record is from RNAcentral.